CCUACGGGAGGCAGCAGUAGGGAAUUUUCGUCAAUGGGCGCAAGCCUGAACGAGCAAUGCCGCGUGAACGAGGAAGGUCUUCGGAUCGUAAAGUUCUGUUGAAGGGGAAAAAGAGCGGAGAGAGGAAAUGAACUCCGAUUGAUAUUACCCUUCGAGGAAGUCACGGCUAACUACGUGCCAGCAGCCGCGGUAAUACGUAGGGGGCAAGCGUUAUCCGGAUUUACUGGGUGGAAAGGGAGCGUAGACGGUGAUGCAAGUAAGAAGUGAAAGCCCGGGGCCCAACC
This 284-nucleotide ribosomal RNA is filed under the name uncultured bacterium. RNAcentral describes it as "partial 16S ribosomal RNA". It matches the Rfam family "Bacterial small subunit ribosomal RNA", at positions 338 to 614 of the family's 1533-position model. The record is from RNAcentral.